RNAcentral lists this ribosomal RNA (427 nucleotides) under uncultured bacterium. Its description in RNAcentral is "partial 16S ribosomal RNA". It matches the Rfam family "Bacterial small subunit ribosomal RNA", at positions 355 to 774 of the family's 1533-position model. The record is from RNAcentral.
UGGGGAAUAUUGCACAAUGGGCGCAAGCCUGAUGCAGCCAUGCCGCGUGUGUGAAGAAGGCCUUCGGGUUGUAAAGCACUUUCAGCGAGGAGGAAGGUGGUGAGCUUAAUACGCUUAUCAAUUGACGUUACUCGCAGAAGAAGCACCGGCUAACUCCGUGCCAGCAGCCACGGUAAUACGGAGGGUGCAAGCGUUAAUCGGAAUUACUGGGCGUAAAGCGCACGCAGGCGGUUUGUUAAGUCAGAUGUGAAAUCCCCGGGCUCAACCUGGGAACUGCAUUUGAAACUGGCAAGCUAGAGUCUCGUAGAGGGGGGUAGAAUUCCAGGUGUAGCGGUGAAAUGCGUAGAGAUCUGGAGGAAUACCGGUGGCGAAGGCGGCCCCCUGGACGAAGACUGACGCUCAGGUGCGAAAGCGUGGGGAGCAAACA